This 407-nucleotide ribosomal RNA is filed under the name uncultured bacterium. Its description in RNAcentral is "partial 16S ribosomal RNA". It matches the Rfam family "Bacterial small subunit ribosomal RNA", at positions 30 to 526 of the family's 1533-position model. The record is from RNAcentral.
AUUGAACGCUGGCGGCAGGCCUAACACAUGCAAGUCGAGCGGAGCGGAGGACGGGUGAGUAAUGCCUAGGAAUCUGCCUGGUAGUGGGGGAUAACGUACGGAAACGGGCGCUAAUACGGCAUACUAUCAGAUGGGCCUAGGUCGGAUUAGCUAGGUGGUGGGGUAACGGACUACCAAGGCGACGAUCCGUAACUGGUCUGAGAGGAUGAUCAGUCACAAUGGAACGGAGACACGGUCCAGACUCCUACGGGAGGCAGCAGUGGGGAAUAUUGGACAAUGGGCGAAAGCCUGAUCCAGCCAUGCCGCGUGUGUGAAGAAGGUCUUCGGAUUGUAAAGCACUUUAAGUUGUGAGGCGUUACCAACAGAAUAAGCACCGGCUAACUUCGUGCCAGCAGCCGCGGUAAUUC